UACGAAUUAUCUUUGAAAGACAGGAUCCUGAAAAAGGGACGUUUCUUUUUUUGCUGAGUUUAUAAAGGCAACUGGCCUGCUCUCAGAAGUAGCACACACUUCAAACAAACAUGAAGACAGCAACUUUGAUCCUGCUUUGUGUCAGUCUUCGGAGCUGAAUUUGCUCACUCCCCUGGUAAGUAGGCUUCUUCAAUUGUAAGAGGGCUUUUAUAUAUCUCCCAUUUUAUUUUUCAUGUGUUCAUUGGAUAAAUGAUUACCAUUAUGUUAUUUAGUAUGUACAAAAAGCACAUUUUGCAGUAUCGACAUGGAUAACUUGAUAAGUGAAUAGCAUAUUCAGAUGUUGAAAGCUAGUAAUAACAAUUACCUUUAGUUUUUGUUGUAAUAGGACUAUAUCUUAUCUGCUGUUCCUUCAAAUCAAUAGGUGGAAGAUCUGAGAACUAUCUAUGCAGGGGAAAACUAAUGCAGUCUGUGAGGAUAAAACGCAUCCAGAAGUUAGAGGUGUACCCAAAUUCUGUCUUCUGUGCAAAGGCAGAAGUUAUUGCCACAAUGAAGAAUGGAAAAAAAAAUGUAUGAACCCAGAGGGCAAACUAGGAAAAAGGUUCCUGAUGAGAAAAAGACUGGAGGAGCAACAGAAGCCAAAAGGAGGACUGGGAAGGAAAAACAAAAAUAAUUCAAAUCCCUGAGUUGGUACAGAAUUAGAAAAUAGAUUAAAGCCUCACACCAGAAGUGUGUACUGGUCAAGUUGGAGACGGUCACUGCAGCCUGUCUGGGAGGGGAGGGGAUUCCUUCCCGGAAUACGUUCUGGACACUCAUAGUACACAAUGUGUCCAUGCGUUCCAUUCCCAUGUAAACAGGAGAACGUCCAAGAUGUUGUCACAGAGACUUACCUCAAUGGUUCUCAUGAUUGUUUAUGGACAUUUGUUUUAAAUGGGUACAUGGCAGUGAAUGUUUGUGUGGGUUAUAUCACUACUUUAUUUAUGUGUCUAUGUUUAGUGUCACGACUUCCGCCGAAGUUGGUCCCUCUCCUUGUUCGGGCGGCGUUCGAAGUCACCAACCUUCUAGCCAUCGCUGAUCCUCUUUUUAUUUUCCUU
This is a non-coding RNA of Salmo salar (Atlantic salmon), 1091 nucleotides long. The record is from RefSeq and is a predicted model, not a curated record. Lineage: Eukaryota; Metazoa; Chordata; Actinopteri; Salmoniformes; Salmonidae.